AUGAUCUAGCUAGAUAAUAACAAUAAUAAGCAAACGGAACGGAAGGAACAAUGGCUUUGCAAUCGCUUCGGGGACCCUGCAACGCAACGGCCGCGGCGCUCAGGGCUUCCAGAUGAUGGUGGUCUCGGCGAUCAUGGAGGUGACCACGUAGGGGUCCAUGUUGGACGCCGGGCGGCGGUCCUCGAAGUAGCCCUUGCCGUUCUGCUCCGUCUCCCGGCCCACGCGCACCGACGCGCCG
RNAcentral lists this long non-coding RNA (238 nucleotides) under Zea mays. Its description in RNAcentral is "long non-coding RNA (ZMAY_LNC003475)". Lineage: Eukaryota; Viridiplantae; Streptophyta; Magnoliopsida; Poales; Poaceae. The record is from RNAcentral.